RNAcentral lists this ribosomal RNA (404 nucleotides) under Verrucomicrobiota bacterium. RNAcentral's name for it is "Verrucomicrobia bacterium partial 16S ribosomal RNA". It matches the Rfam family "Bacterial small subunit ribosomal RNA", at positions 355 to 776 of the family's 1533-position model. The record is from RNAcentral. Lineage: Bacteria; Pseudomonadati; Verrucomicrobiota.
UGGGGAAUAUUGCACAAUGGAGGGAACUCUGAUGCAGCGACGCCGCGUGAACGAAGAAGGCUUUCGAGUCGUAAAGUUCUUUUAUAUGGGAAGAUAAUGACGGUACCAUAAGAAAAAGCCCCGGCUAACUACGUGCCAGCAGCCGCGGUAAUACGUAGGUGGCAAGCGUUUUCCGGAAUUAUUGGGCGUAAAGCGCGCGCAGGUGGUUUAGAAAGUCUGAUGUGAAAGCCCACGGCUCAACCGUGGAGGGUCAUUGGAAACUAAUAAACUUGAGUGCAGGAGAGAAAAGUGGAAUUCCUAGUGUAGCGGUGAAAUGCGUAGAGAUUAGGAGGAACACCGGUGGCGAAAGCGGCUUUUUGGCCUGCAACUGACACUGAGGCGCGAAAGCGUGGGGAGCAAACAGG